UACAGAGACUGCAAGCGUUAUUCGGAUUCACUGGGCGUAAAGGGUGCGCAGGCGGCCGAGUGUGUGAGCCGGGAAAGCCUGGGGCUUAACCCCAGAAUUGCACCUCAAACUACACGGCUAGAGCAUUGGAGAGGGUAGCAGAAUUCAUGGUGUAGCAGUGAAAUGCGUAGAUAUCAUGAGGAAUACCAGAGGCGAAGGCGGCUACCUGGACAAUUGCUGACGCUCAGGCACGAAAGCGUGGGGAGCAAACAGG
RNAcentral lists this ribosomal RNA (253 nucleotides) under uncultured bacterium. RNAcentral's name for it is "partial 16S ribosomal RNA". It matches the Rfam family "Bacterial small subunit ribosomal RNA", at positions 524 to 776 of the family's 1533-position model. The record is from RNAcentral.